RNAcentral lists this ribosomal RNA (485 nucleotides) under uncultured bacterium. RNAcentral describes it as "bacterial SSU rRNA". It matches the Rfam family "Bacterial small subunit ribosomal RNA", at positions 32 to 524 of the family's 1533-position model. The record is from RNAcentral.
AAUCAACGCUGGCGGCGUGCCUCAGACAUGCAAGUCGAACGAUUAAAGCUCUCUUCGGAGAGUGUAUAGAGUGGCGCACGGGUGAGUAACACGUAAGUAAUCUACCCUCGAGUGGGGAAUAACAACCGGAAACGGUUGCUAAUACCGCAUAAUGCAGCGGCACCGCAAGGUGACAGUUGUUAAAAGAUUUAUCGCUUGAGGAGGAGCUUGCGGCAGAUUAGCUAGUUGGUAGGGUAACGGCUUACCAAGGCUACGAUCUGUAACCGGUCUAAGAGGACGGUCGGUCACACUGACACUGAAUAACGGGUCAGACUCCUACGGGAGGCAGCAGUCGGGAAUUUUGGGCAAUGGGCGAAAGCCUGACCCAGCAACGCCGCGUGAAGGAUGAAGUAUUUCGGUAUGUAAACUUCGAAAGAAUAGGAAGAAUUAAAUGAACGGUACUAUUUAUAAGGUCCGGCUAACUACGUGCCAGCAGCCGCGGUAAU